Bombus impatiens (common eastern bumble bee) is the source of this 965-nucleotide long non-coding RNA. RefSeq lists it as uncharacterized. The transcript is spliced from 2 exons. NCBI's taxonomy places the organism in Eukaryota, Metazoa, Arthropoda, Insecta, Hymenoptera, Apidae. The record is from RefSeq and is a predicted model, not a curated record.
UUCUCCUUCUCUUCUAAACUUUUAAAUAGAUCUUACUUUGAAAUCUUUUCCUAUCAUAAAAUGAACGUAUAUGGAAACUCAGGAUCAAUGAUAAAACAUAGUGACAUUCUUAACUUUUCAUACGAUCGUAAGAAAUGACAUGAGCGUCAGGUUUCGGGGACAUAAGGAACAAAAUGUAUGUAUAUUCCUUUUGCGAACGUUCUUUCUAACUGUAAUGUCACGGCUGAUUGACCAACAAUUCGAAGAAGGCGCGUAGAAACAGAAAAGCGUGAUGUCGAUAAAAUCUUAGAUCAAACUUCCACAUCGAAGUAAAGUACCUUUCUACAACUUCUCUUAUGAUGUAUAACUGAAUAUUUUCAACGAAAUAUUAUUAUAAAUGUCUAACUUGUCGAAGCUAUACCGGAUGAACUUGAAGAUAUUUUCGUAAGAUCUUUUAACUUAAAAAGGAACGAAAAUGUCGAUUUCGUUCUUGAAUGUCGAUUUAGCAGCGGAUUAACGCGCGUUCGAGUGACAGGGGCGACAAAAAUCUUUAUCCGUUCCUGAAUGGGACAGAACACACCGACAGUAGAGAGAUAUCACUUUCCCGGCUUUCUUGGUGCCACGCCCGAUCGUACCGUACUUUUAUGCGAACUUGAACGAAACGCGUGUUCUUCGCGGCGCAUACUAAUUGACGAAGCCAGAAAAAUACGACCAGUUCUAAAAUUUCACACGAAAUCACGAACGACGAGUAGAAUCGUGUUUAGUUAAAUUGUAUGCCUCUCAUUAAGAGGAGAAAUCGGAGGUAUCAACAUAAAAACAAUUUAAAUGAUAAUUAAUUGGAACAAUGGAGAAAUUAGACUAAUAAUACAUCUAAUACGAGACUUGUAAAUUAUCGACUGACCUUUUAGUCAAUUAUAGAGCUCAUUAUCUCCACCGUUUCGUAUAGCUUCUAGAUUGCUCCUUGAGAAACUACUUCGAAAACUUUG